Molecule: long non-coding RNA, 3308 nt
Organism: Naja naja (Indian cobra)
Lineage: Eukaryota; Metazoa; Chordata; Lepidosauria; Squamata; Elapidae
Source: Ensembl
CACACAGCCUGUGGGACGUCAGCAACGUUUCCAGCCACAGAAAGCGGGAAGCAUAUCACAAGGAAUACAGGUUAAGGUGCAAGGCGAAACAUCCCAAAACAGGGUUUUUUGUUUUUUUUUAACAAAAAAAAAAAUUAUUGUUGUUGUUUUAUGAUCUCACAAAACACCCGCAGAAAAGAACAGCAACAGCAGCAACAGCCACACUUAGUGACGGAGGAAGAAACUGAAGCAGAGAAUGUUUCCUCUUUGGGGCGCACUCUCUGCUCCCUGCCAAAGACAGAGGACAAAUUUUGCCCAAGCGAGGGAAGCAGGGAUGCAACAGGUAGCUUUUGUUACGUAGCACAUGCAGGGGGUGGUUAGCCCAGUUCUUAAAAACAUCAAAAUGAAAGAGAGAGAGAGAAAGGGGGGUGGGGGGGUGGGAGAAUCACCCCAAACUUAGAAAACAUGGUUUCAAAGAGGUUGCAGCAAUUACAUUUUUUACGGCACUUUGUGAAAACUCUGCAUGCACCAGGUGGGGAGAGGUGAAGAAGUGAGGUGGGGUGUGGAAAGCGCUGGCCACUUAACAUCCCCCCACCCCCAAUCAUGCCAUGUCCCCAUCCCCCUCCUCCUUUAAAAGCAGCAACCUAACUGUGGAGUGCAAAAGAACAAACAAUCUGAAAGCGGGAUCCAUUGGUAACAAUUCAAGUCCUGGAGGUUUGGUGUUGGUUUUAAAGCAUGGGCUGUUGUGGUGGUGGUUUUGUCAAAGCUCCAAGCUUCUUUCCGGUUCUCUUGUCCCGCACGUUCCCCGUCCUGCAAAUGCCCAAGUCGCAGUGCUGGUGUCGGAAGUGAGAAUCUACUCCAAGCAGAAAGAGUCAGACGGGGUGAAGAGACACCAAGAAAAACUCAAAAUGUCCUUCCGGUUUUGGUUUUGGUUUUGGAAAUGCAUUUUCAUGCAGAAGCUGAGAAAGCGGUGAGGCAAGCGACAAUCCUCUACGAGGAACUUCGAUGAAGGCUGGUAGAAAAUCAGGAUCCAUUUCUAUAGACAAACAGCGAAGUGCGUUUUAAUGUUCUGAUCUCAAAGCAAGCUGGAGAAACGGGCUUGGUUUACGUCCAUCUUCCCUGUCAUGCUGGAUAGAAAAACAACAUAAGGCUUGAAAAGGCAUCGGAGUUACACAACUGCGGGAAAUGAAACUAUCAUUCCUUCACUAUACAGCACGAAGAUUCUGGCCGCCCCUGGGAAACUCAGCCACCUGGAAAUCUUCUCGAUAUAAUGCCAAUUUGAGUUUUUGUGAUGAUCAAGCGAUCUACUGUUAAUAUUCCCAAAAUGUUGGACAGAGAUAAAGGAGGGAAAAUGAUGUAAACAGUGAGAAUUUGAGUGUAUGUUUUGGCAAUAGACUCAGCAUCGUAUAAAAAUACUUGAUAAUAAAAAAAUUUAUCCAUAUAUUAAAAAAAUCAGGACAUGAAUUGAUAGCAGAGUUCUUUUUUUUGUUGUUUGUGCUUGCAGGGCAGACAAAGACACUUCCUUUUACACACACCCUGUUCAUCAGAAAUGCAGCGUUCUUUAAAUUAAAAAGGAGGGGGAAAAUCACCACAUACGAAAUAUAUCAGAAGCAAUUCCAUCAAUCACAAUUCAUCAAAAAAAAAAAAAGCAGGCUUUUAUCAUCAGCAGCUCUCCGUAUUUCUAUAUCAGGAUAAAAGUGCACAGAAUUGUAAUCCACCACGAGGCUGUGAGCGAAAAUGAAAUGGUAUGCUUGGUGAACAUCAACAAAACCCCAAAACCCAGACAUUUUCAAACUAGAGAUCUGGACCACGACCAAGUCAAGUCAAGAGCAUUCUUGGUUUCCUUUCCUUUUUCCUUUUCUUUUCUGUUUGAAAGGUGGAAAAAAAAAAUGUCAUCGUUUUGCAGCAUUGAAGUAAGGCACUCGCCCACGGUGUGUUUCUGCUGCUUAAGGGGGCAGCAGCCAACUCACUUUUUAAACAGACGGAAGACAAGUUUCCUUUCGUGGUAAGUGCUGCAGGUACCUUACACCAUUAUUAUAUAGAAGGAGAAGGGAAAAAUUCACAUUUUUUUCCUCUUCUGUGGAGAAGGGGUAACUGUGUUAAAAUUCAUCUAUAAACUACUGGCUUCUUUUCUUCUUUGCCAAUUAAAGCAUUUUGUAUCCUAAAAUAUUAGUUUUUAUAAAUCUAGUCAUCUGUUUUAAGGCUGUACAAGUCCCAACUCCCCACCCUCCACCCCACCCUGAACCAAUAAGAAACAGCAUUUUUGAUUGGGGCAUUAAAAGGACUGGAACUCUUCUUAUUUCACAGUCAGAAGUCUAAUAUUGCGUCUCCUGUCUCUCUGCCCACCAUCCCAGUGAUGAAAACCUGUGGGGUUUUGUUUUGUUUUUUUUAAUUGAAGGACAGAUUCCCUCCCACGGUUUCAAAUAUUUUGCAUUUGUUUGGUCAGGUAACUGGAAAGCCUGAAAAACAAGAAAGUCUCUCUUGUUUUAAUACUACAAAGGUGUGUCCAUCCAGUUACGCAGUUCUCCUGCGUUGACCCUGGAAAACAAGGGUUGUUUCCUACAAGUGUUUUGUCCGCGGCCUGCAGUGAUCUCUCCAUUGGAUAACCACAAGGUGCUCCAAUGCUUCUUCUUCUUCUUCUUCUUUCUCUUCUUUCUUUCUUCCUCUCUUUCUUUCUUCCUCUCUUUUUUUUGUAUGGCUCCUACCAAUCAGAAAGCUUUCUGGAGUGAGGUAAAAAUGUUGGGUUUUCAAGCAAAGUACAUGGUACGUAAAGUGUCCUGAUGAACUUGCACAGCCUUGGCGAGGGCUUGAGGGUCUCGGCCGUUGCUCUGGCCGGAGAUGUGACUGCCUUCUCCACUAAAAGCACAGAGGAAAAGGGAUGGGGGGAUUAAAACAGAGCGUUCAUUAGGAAGACGAAAGGCAUGAGGAUGGCAGAUUUCUCUUGGCAGGGAAAUCACGGUCAGCAUAAAAUGGCACAGCUUUUAUUCCAGGGGACUUUAAGACUCCAACUCCCAGAAUUCCCCAGCCAGCAUCUUAAAGUUGCCAUGGUUGGAAACUCUGCUCUAGACAAACUGUACACCCCUGCUAGAUGAAAAGGUUUUUUUCCUCCUCCAGAAGUCUAAGGGCAUUGGAGACAAACUAGGGCAGGGGUGUCACACUCAAUUUCAUUGAUGGCCAAUCAGGGCUGUGGUUGGCCUCUGGGGGCCGGGUGGGCAUGGCUGACCAGGUAGGCGUGGCCAGCUUGACGCCACUCCCCAAACUGCUGGCAUGCUUCCUCUUUGCACUGGGUAGACCAGGCCGCAGCGAUGCAGGACGGCCCCGUGGCCUUC